AUCUGUAGCUCAGAGGUCAGAGCAGCGGUUUCCGGUACCGCAGAUCGGGGGUUCGAAUCCUUCCAGAU
RNAcentral lists this transfer RNA (68 nucleotides) under pig gut metagenome. It matches the Rfam family "tRNA". Rfam says of the family: Transfer RNA (tRNA) molecules are approximately 80 nucleotides in length. Their secondary structure includes four short double-helical elements and three loops (D, anti-codon, and T loops). Further hydrogen bonds mediate the characteristic L-shaped molecular structure. tRNAs have two regions of fundamental functional importance: the anti-codon, which is responsible for specific mRNA codon recognition, and the 3' end, to which the tRNAs corresponding amino acid is attached (by aminoacyl-tRNA synthetases). tRNAs cope with the degeneracy of the genetic code in two manners: having more than one tRNA (with a specific anti-codon) for a particular amino acid; and 'wobble' base-pairing, i.e. permitting non-standard base-pairing at the 3rd anti-codon position. The record is from RNAcentral.